GACGAACGCUGGCGGCGUGCCUAAUACAUGCAAGUCGAACGCAAAACUUUCACCGAAUGCUUGCAUUCGCGAAAGUUUUGAGUGGCGAACGGGUGAGUAACACGUGGGUAACCUGCCCAGAAGAGGGGGAUAACACGUGGAAACAGGUGCUAAUACCGCAUAAUAACAAAAACCGCAUGGUUUUGGUUUGAAAGAUGGUUUGGCUAUCACUUCUGGAUGGACCCGCGGCGUAUUAGAUAGUUGGUAAGGUAAAGGCUUACAAAGGCAAUGAUACGUAGACGAACUGAGAGGUUGAUCGGCCACAUUGGGACUGAGAAACGGCCCAAACUCCUACGGGAGGGAGCAGUAGGGAAUCUUCCACAAUGGACGAAAGUCUGAUGGAGCAACGCCGCGUGAGUGAAGAAGGUUUUCGGAUCGUAAAACUCUGUUGUUAGAGAAGAACGUGUGUGAGAGUAACUGCUCGUGCAGUGACGGUAUCUAACCAGAAAGCCACGGCUAACUACGUGCCAGCAGCCGCCGUAA
RNAcentral lists this ribosomal RNA (522 nucleotides) under uncultured bacterium. Its description in RNAcentral is "partial 16S ribosomal RNA". It matches the Rfam family "Bacterial small subunit ribosomal RNA", at positions 28 to 523 of the family's 1533-position model. The record is from RNAcentral.